Molecule: ribosomal RNA, 253 nt
Filed under: uncultured bacterium
Lineage: Bacteria
Description: partial 16S ribosomal RNA
Rfam family: Bacterial small subunit ribosomal RNA
Source: RNAcentral
UACGUAGGGCGCAAGCGUUGUCCGGAAUUAUUGGGCGUAAAGAGCUCGUAGGCGGUUUGUCGCGUCUGUCGUGAAAGCUUGGGGCUUAACCCCAAGUCUGCGGUGGAUACGGGCAGACUAGAGUGAUGUAGGGGAGACUGGAAUUCCUGGUGUAGCGGUGAAAUGCGCAGAUAUCAGGAGGAACACCGAUGGCGAAGGCAGGUCUCUGGGCAUUAACUGACGCUGAGGAGCGAAAGCAUGGGGAGCGAACAGG